This 300-nucleotide small RNA is filed under the name Sinorhizobium meliloti 2011. RNAcentral's name for it is "putative ncRNA". Lineage: Bacteria; Pseudomonadati; Pseudomonadota; Alphaproteobacteria; Hyphomicrobiales; Rhizobiaceae. The record is from RNAcentral.
AACCUUAACCUGAUUCGAAACUUAGGCCCAAAGAUGGUGGUUGUCAGGCCGCGCGUCGGAAAGUGCGCGUUUUUCCAGCUGAGCAGCAGAAAUGCAUCGAUUCGCGGGCGCGCGCGACCGUCACCUGCGCGGUCCUCUAUGGACGGGCAGCGACGGUCCCUAAGACGGCCGGAUCAUCCGCCGCUGCUAUAUUCGAGUUUCGGGUACCAGUCGGCACCCCGGCCUUCGGGCGUGGUGUCGAGCAGGGUCCAUAACGGGUCGGGAUCGGGUGCGCCGCGCGGGUCCUGGCCCGGAUCGGCC